Molecule: ribosomal RNA, 253 nt
Filed under: uncultured bacterium
Lineage: Bacteria
Description: partial 16S ribosomal RNA
Rfam family: Bacterial small subunit ribosomal RNA
Source: RNAcentral
GACGAACCGUACGAACGUUAUUCGGAAUCACUGGGCUUAAAGGGUGCGUAGGCUGCGCAGCAAGUUGGGUGUGAAAUCCCUCGGCUUAACCGAGGAACUGCGCCCAAAACUGCUGUGCUCGAGGGAGAUAGAGGUGAGCGGAGCUUAGGGUGGAGCGGUGAAAUGCGUUGAUAUCCUAAGGAACACCGGUGGCGAAAGCGGCUCACUGGAUCUCUUCUGACGCUGAGGCACGAAAGCUAGGGUAGCGAACGGG